AAUCAACGCUGGCGGCGUGCCUCAGACAUGCAAGUCGAACGAUUAAAGCUCUCUUCGGAGAGUGUAUAGAGUGGCGCACGGGUGAGUAACACGUAAGUAAUCUACCUUUGAGUGGGGAAUAACCCGGGGAAACCCGAGCUAAUACCGCAUAAUGCAGCGGCACCGCGAGGUGACAGUUGUUAAAGGAGCAAUCCGCUUAAAGAGGAGCUUGCGGCAGAUUAGCUAGNGGUAAGGUAAUGGCUUACCAAGGCUUCGACCUGUAUCCGGCCUGAGAGGGCGGUCGGACACACUGACACUGAAUAACGGGUCAGACUCCUACGGGAGGCAGCAGUCGGGAAGUUUUGGGCAAUGGGCGAAAGCCUGACCCAGCAACGCCGCGUGAAGGAUGAAGUA
Molecule: ribosomal RNA, 393 nt
Filed under: uncultured bacterium
Lineage: Bacteria
Description: bacterial SSU rRNA
Rfam family: Bacterial small subunit ribosomal RNA
Source: RNAcentral